This 305-nucleotide ribosomal RNA is filed under the name uncultured bacterium. RNAcentral's name for it is "bacterial SSU rRNA". It matches the Rfam family "Bacterial small subunit ribosomal RNA", at positions 334 to 656 of the family's 1533-position model. The record is from RNAcentral.
UAAUCCUACGGGGCGCAGCAGUGGGGAAUAUUGCACAAUGGGGGAAACCCUGAUGCAGCGACGCCGCGUGAGUGAAGAAGUAUUUCGGUAUGUAAAGCUCUGUCAGCAGGGAAGAAAAUGACGGUACCUGACCAAGAAGCCCCGGCUAACUACGUGCCAGCAGCCGCGGUAAUACGUAGGGGGCAAGCGUUAUCCGGAUUUACUGGGUGUAAAGGGGGCGCAGACGGCAAUGCAAGCCAGGAGUGAAAGCCCGGGGCCCAACCCCGGGACUGCUCUUGGAACUGCAUGGCCGGAGUACAGGGGGG